GUAGGUGAACCUGCGGAAGGAUCAUUACCGAGUUAGGGUGCCUCGUCGCGCCCGACCUCCAACCCUUUGCUUACUUGACCUAUUUUGUUGCUUCGGCAGGCCCGCCGCCCGGAAACGGGUGGCCGCCGGGGGCGUUUCACCGCCCCGGGCCCGCGCCUGUCGAUGGCCCUAUUAAAACUCUUGUCAAAACGUGUCGUCUGAGUUUAUCUAAACAAAUAAAAACCAAAACUUUCAACAACGGAUCUCUUGGUUCUG
Molecule: unclassified non-coding RNA, 255 nt
Filed under: rhizosphere metagenome
Description: partial ribosomal RNA internal transcribed spacer region
Source: RNAcentral